RNAcentral lists this long non-coding RNA (441 nucleotides) under Mytilus galloprovincialis (Mediterranean mussel). Lineage: Eukaryota; Metazoa; Mollusca; Bivalvia; Mytilida; Mytilidae. The record is from RNAcentral.
GGGGGGGCAAGGGGUUUAACUGUUAAGCUGUUAUGGGGCAAUUUAAUUCUUUGUUAUCUGUUAUUCUGAAAAUAUAUUUGCUGUUAGCUAUUAUUGUCUUAUUCUUUGUUAGCUGUUAUUGGGUUUUUACUUUUUUUUGUUAUCUGUUAUUGUGAUAAUGUAUUUGUUGUUAACUGUUAUUGAAAUUGGAAUGUUAGCAUUUUUUUACAGCAAAUUUUCGGUAGAAAUUGAAGAUCAUUUGACAUUGGGGUCUACCACUACUAAUAAGUUGGUCCCGUAUUCGGAGAAGGAUUCCAUUAACAUAUACCCAUCACAGAAGUGAGGUCCAGGGCAAUUCCAGUAUAUCUUAAGAUUAUCCUUUCACAUUAAUAAAUUCCAUUUUUUGGAACAUGUAUUUAGAAUUAUCUUAUUUUUUAUGAGGAUAAUGUUCCUUGGUUCCCG